UCACACACGAAAAGCAGAGGCUUGGAAGGCUACUAUUUGUUCAAUCCACACACCCACCCCUCAAACGUACGUUAGUGGUAUAAGCCCAGUUCAUAUAACUUGUCGGUGGAGAAGCGGAAAUCUAGUGCGUACGAGUUUAGGUAGGCCUAAGUAGAGGUGGUGCGUUUGUGUAUAUUUAUGAUUUUUCAACACGGGUUAUUUCAGUUGGAUAAAAACACACGAAAAGCAAACGUCAUUUUUAUUACUUAUUUCUUGCAAUGGUCAAUUAUAUGAAUGGAGUCUAUACACAAACUGAUUAUAUCUUAAACUUAAGUUAAAGCUAUAUGACAUUGUAAAGACCUUAAAAAGUCGUGGACACCGUUAAAAACGUAGGCACCCCAAUGACCCUGGCAGUCCUUUUCCGCACUGAAUCAGCUGCGUAUGUUCAACACUGUAAGGAAUACAAGUAAAUAUCUUUGUUGGAAGAAAAAUGCUAUAGCAGUAUGCUAUCAUCAAGCACACAAACAAGGAAAAUGAAGAAAGCUGAGGUUUACACAACAGUUCUGAUUCUGUAUGUUUUCACAUGUCAGUGCAGUGCUGUGAUACCUUCACACCUAAGUCAACCCACACUUCAAACAAUGCUGAUAGGUGGAACUUCAUCUGCACUAAAAAUUGACCACUUCUUGCAUGAUAAUGACUCCUGUCCAAGUAUAUGCAAGUGUCGUUCGUAUGAAAGCCACACUGAAGUGGAAUGUAUAGUCAGAAACUUAACAACUCUAGCUACACUUCCAACAUAUACAACUGCCUUAACUUUAUCAAGAACUCGGCUCAGAACACUGAAUAUCUCUUUUCAAGGUUUAUCACAUUUACAGAAACUUAUUCUUUCACAUAAUGAGCUGAAGUACGUCAACUGGAAGUUUCAUAACUUUUUCACGAAGCUCAAACUUUUAGACCUAAGUCAUAACUUAUUAUACGGUACUUUAUCUUCUAAUAGUUUACAUCUAUUUGAAAGUUUAGAAUUGCUUAAUAUUUCAUAUAACCAGCUUAAUGAGUUACCACAUUCAUUAUUCAAUAAGUUAAAGUCACUCAAAUUACUUGAUUUAAGUAAUAAUAAAAUAUUAGAGAUUGAUUUGCAUAGCUUUUCUAAACUUUAUUCAUUAGAAAUCUUAGAUCUUUCAGUGAAUAAUUUAUAUCAAGUACAGCAUGACUGGUUCAGUGACCUUAAAAACCUGAAAGAGCUAAGGCUUGGAAGUAAUCACAUCCAGAAUUUGAGUAAUGUAGUUUUUUCAGCAUUAAAUACCUUACAAUAUUUAGAUCUUAGUGACAAUAAGAUAAUGUCAAUAGGAAUGCUGAGUUUUAAGGGUCUGAAGGAACUAAGGAAAUUGAACUUGAGUAUGAAUAAUAUUAGUUUUCUACAGGAAACUACAUUAAAGCCCUUGAGCAAUUUAGAAGUUCUAGAUCUCAGUUUCAACCUCCUUGCAACUCUGGAUAACUUGUUUAGUUCUUCCAUUUGCUUGAAAAAACUUUUCUUGUCAAAUAUCAAGAGCCUUUCAAGAAUAACCAAGCCAAUGUUCAAUGGCCUUUUGAACCUGGAAGAGCUGCAAAUUGCAAACUCUUCACUUUCUUCAAUAGCGAAAGAUGCAUUUGUUCCAUUAACUAAAAUGAAAGUCUUGGAUAUAAUGGGAAGCAAUAUGAUCACACUCGAAAAAGGUGUAUUUGACACACUGUCAAUUUUACAAAGGUUAAAUUUGGCUGGAAAUCCAUGGCACUGUGAUUGCUACAUGUACUGGCUGUUGCCUUGGCUUGGAGAUCAUACCAAUGCUCAUCUUUUGAACCCAUUCAAGACUCUGUGUUUUAAUCCCAGUCCUUUAGCUGGUCAUACACUCUUGGAUGCUUUAGACAAAAACAUGGUAUGUACAAACACCACCGUUCAGAAAAAUGUCUAUAAAAUACAGUACAGAGUGGGAUCUUCAGCUAUACUCAACUGUCAGGCAGAGGGCAGUCCAACACCAAACCUCACUUGGAUAACUCCUCAGAAUGAAGUCUUCCAUUGGAGUGCUGUGUAUGAAAAUACAACUAAAUUUUUACUCACAAGUAGUCCCAAAAGAACCUACAAUGUGUGGGCAGACAGUUUUAAUCACUCAAAAGAUGACCAGUUUUUAUUACUUAAGAAUGGAAGUCUCUUUAUUAGUAAGAUUCAGCGUAUGGAUGGUGGUCAUUUUCGAUGCAUAGCAUCGAACCCUUUAAGUAAGGAAGUUGUGAAUAUUCAUGUCAGUCUCGACUAUGAAUUUUUGGGGAAUAUAAAAAUUAUUAGUAUCUUAGUGGGCUUUGCAUUAAGCUUUGGAUUCCUCUUGGUUACAUUGAUGGUAAUCUUAAUUCAAUUUAUUUUGAAGCGGUUUGGAAUUGAAUGUCCAUGUCCAUGUGGAAUUGCAUAUUCCACUAAAGCACAGCAUAUUAAACGUAUGUUAGAAAACAUGGAAGGAUAUAGGCGCCAACAACUUGAUCGUCUGCGAGACCACUACAGUGUUCAAGUACAGAGAAUAAAAAAUAACUGUAUACAACAAAUGGAGAAGCUCAGAGAAGGCUAUUCAUUGCAGACAGAACGUAUAAGAGAUAUCUGUGACUAUGGUACACAGCAUAUUGACCGUAUUAGAGAUAAUUAUUACCAACAAGUGCAGAGGGUACGAGAUUAUAGUACAGGCCAGAUUGAUAGGCUGAGAGAAAAUUAUGUAUUUCAGAGAAAUCGUAUCCGUAAAUUCAGUGCUCACCAAUUGUACAAGCUAAGAGAAAAUUACAAGGUACAACAACAGCAUUUGAAUAAAAUUCUAGAGAAUCUAAACCUCGAGAGUUGUCGCAAUGUUUGUGCAAGAACAGAUUCCAUAAUGUUUGAGCCCGAAAUCUUGGUAGAGCCUGUGUUUGUACCAGCAAUAAAUAAUGUUGCACUUGCUCAGCUACAGUACUGCAGCCAGAAGGACCAAGGUGACAACUCCAGUCAGACAUCAGCUUACUUCACUCCAGAUGAAACUGGAUCUCAGGUUUCUGAUCAGAAUGACUUCAUUUGCAGUGCUCUUCCAGAAGAGGUGCAUCAAGUUCAGUCCAAUGGAAGUGCCUCCAGUUCUCCUUUAAGUAUAGUUUCCAAUAAUUUAUCUAUCACAGCUACUAUGGAAACAGCAAACACCCCAGCAAAUUCUCAAGCUACACUUACCAAUGAGAGAAUUUCUAUUUUUGUUGGAAAACAAACAGCAGAUGCAUGCAAGGCAGAGAAAGAUAGGAAAAAAACAAUUAUAUCCUUAACCCCUGGGACACGACUGCACCGAUCUCGGAGUCUGCCAGAAACUAGGGUAUAACAAUGUUAACUACUACAGUGUACAGGUACAUUAUGUACUGGAGGUAACCUAUAACUUAAAUUCUUCCGUAAUCCAGUUAACAAAUAUGUAGUUUCCUUAGCAGAGCAUUCCCUAAACACUUUAUUCUUGAUGUUACAAACAGAAGAACAAUGCAAGUUUAGCUUACAGAACAGAGUGGAGGUAAUUUGGAGAUAUUUAGUAGUUUUGUAUUGUUUACCUUUAAAGUGUAUGUGUAUUUUUCUAAAGCUUACCUGUUUAGAACUGAAAUUUGAUUUAAAACAUUUUUAUCUGUCCAGUGAUUGAAAUAUACUCCAUUUCAGUAAAGUUUGACAUGUUUUCUAUUCUUAAGACAGUCUGAAGAGAAAUAUUAUCUUAAUACAUUCAAAGAUAAAGUUGUUGUCCAGUAAUUUACCCCCCUCUUUUUUUUUUUUAAAUGAGUGUUAGAACAAAACUGAUGGCAAUGAAUUUAUCUAGUCCACAUGUAGUUAACAAACUGUAAGAAAUCAGUCUCAUUCUAAAUGGGAACUUCUGUGACUCAGAUAUACACACUUACCAAUCAGCAAAUAACUAAUUUUAUAAUGUCUAUUUUUGUUUAUCCCAGAAAAAACCUCAAAACCUUUGAAUUGUCAAACGUUAGGAGAUUUCUUUUUUUUUCUUUUCUUAUUUUUAAAAAACAUUCUUAAACUAAAAAUGCUAUAUAAAGUGUUUUGAACUCUAAGUAUUUAUGAGAAAUGCUAUCCAAGUUAGAGAGCUUGCAUGCCUCUUUAGAAGACAGCAAACAAAUAUGUUGGCAUAAAGAAUAGGCAAACUAAAUGUUAAAUUGCCCAGACACACAAACAAAUACUCUUUAGAUAUUUUAAGUAUGAUAUAAGUGUAAUAUUAUGGUUAAGGUACUGUAAGGAGAUCAUAAAUAUAAUUUCUCUUUGUUGUUUGACUCUGAAAUUUUAAUUCUAUUAGAUUAUAUUUAAGAGAGAUGAAAACAACGUCCAUAGAGUAUGAUGGCUCCUUUCUUAAACUGCAAUUUAAUUUUAUAAUAGCUUAGAUAAAAUUUGACUAAUGGGCUUCAUUCUUAUAAUGUAAUUUUUAGGUAGCAUCAAAGAUAAUUCUAAGUGAACACUUAGGUUGGAAAGUUUAACCUUGUAAUUAAUGUUAUUAGUAAAAGUGAAAGAAGAAAUUUUAGUUUCCAUAAGGCAUACAAGUGGGCUUCCAGUGUAUUUGAUUUUUAACAGUUAUGAUUGUAAAUGUUAAGAGUCCAAAUAAAAGGUACUACAGUUUAUUAUUUUACAGUUCUUAUAAGUGAUGAUAAAUUGAAUUUAUUUGCAAUAUCUAAUUGCAAUCUGAAACGAGGAGCUGCUUUAAGAUACACAGUACAAAAGUAACUUUAAUUUGGAUUAAUGUUGAAAUAUUGUAUACUUUAUCAUCUUUACUACUUAAAACGUGUAAUAUAAAAACAAAAACAAAUCAUGUUUAGAAAUAAACACUGUGACUUGAUCAAAUACUAGUCUCUUUAGAACCUUAUACUCUCACGGUUAGAAGUCGGAGAAAAAAACCUUUUAAGUUUGAGGAACAGUUGUUCCAACAUACACAAGUGUUGGAGCAGAAGGUUUUGCAAGACUGGUACAUCUUUUUGUUUUCCUGGAAUAUUAAUCCUCUCCAUCUCUUGUCCUGGAAUAUUAAAUCCUCUCCAUCUCUUGUCCUAAAGCUCGUCAGUAGUUAUAGUAAAUGGAGAUUCUGUCAACUCUCAAUUUGAUCUAGUGAUGUGGUCUAAGGAGGUCUGUUUUUUAAUGUCCAUGCUUUUCUCAUCAUAUGGAUACUAAAAUGUCUCCAGUAAAUACUAAUCCUGAUAAUUCUAUCUUUCCAUUCUGCCAAACAUCAGUUCAAUACCUCCACUAAACAAGACAGUUCCUGUCACAUAAAAUGCUAACACAACAGAUGAACGUUUCAUCGUCCAUAGACAACUGGAUGUUGUUUCUGUUAACAGUCCUAUACUUGUAAUAGUAUGAUCAAUUCACAGUAGUUAUUUGUAAACAUAUUUUUUUUAAAUUGCAUGUUUUAAGUACUGAUGAUGAUAAAGUAUACAAUAUUUCAACAUUAACCCAAUAUAAAGUUACUUUUGUACUGUAUAUCUUAAAGCAGCUUCCCUUGUUUCAGAUUGCAAUUGGAUACUGUGAUGUUAACAGCAUGUUUAAUAAUUGCCAAGUUGAAUUUGCUUAAAGGUAAUAGUUCUCUCAUCUUGAUGCCUACUACAUAUGCAGUUUAUUGAAGUGAAACUAUGAAUUGGUUUGUUUGAUACUUUUAAUCAGAAAUACUCAGAUUUCUUGAACCUUUUCAUAAUGAAAACUUAAUGCAACUAACUGAAACAAAUGCAUUAUUUUUAGUUUUUAGAAGUACUGUUAUGUAGUUAGUCUUAUAUUCAAAAGGUUCAGUGAUAAAAGAAACAAACAAAACUGAUUACUGAGCAGUUGUAGUCAGUCCAUAGUUUACAGGAGGUGUUUUUUGUACUUUGUAGAAUCAAGGAACUUUUCAAAGUAAACGAAAAUGUUUUAAAAUUCUAAGUUAUUAAACUUGAAACCCUGCAAGGCCAAGUAAUACUGUUAAUAUUCUUUCAAAUACAUGUUUCAGUUGCUAGCUCAGAUAAGGUCCUGAAAAUAAAACCUGUAUGAAAAAUACCAAUUUGUUUAUUGCAAUGGCUUAUCAGAUCCUGUUAUCUCUUUCUGCCUAUACACUAAUAAAUUCUUCAAUAAAA
RNAcentral lists this unclassified non-coding RNA (6072 nucleotides) under Limulus polyphemus (Atlantic horseshoe crab). Its description in RNAcentral is "leucine-rich repeat neuronal protein 1-like, transcript variant X1". Lineage: Eukaryota; Metazoa; Arthropoda; Merostomata; Xiphosura; Limulidae. The record is from RNAcentral.